AAUAUUGGACGAUGGGUGAGAGCCUGAUCCAGCCAUCCCGCGUGCAGGAAGAAUGNCUNNUGGGUNGNACACUGCUUUUAUACNNNNNUAAACCACUUUCCGUGUAAGGUGUUGAAGGUACUGUAUGAAUAAGCAUCGGCUAACUCCGUGCCAGCAGCCGCGGUAAUACGGAGGAUCCAAGCGUUAUCCGGAUUUAUUGGGUUUAAAGGGUGCGCAGGCGGAAGAUUAAGUCGGCGGUGAAAUUUUGCAGCUAAACGGUAAAAGUGCCAUCGAUACUGGUUUUCUUGAGUGUGGAUGAAGUAGGCGGAAUUUGUGGUGUAGCGGUGAAAUGCAUAGAUAUCACGAGGAACUCCGAUUGCGCAGGGAGCUUACUAGGCCAUAACUGACGCUCAGGCACGAAGGCGUGGGGAUCAAAC
This 416-nucleotide ribosomal RNA is filed under the name uncultured bacterium. RNAcentral's name for it is "partial 16S ribosomal RNA". It matches the Rfam family "Bacterial small subunit ribosomal RNA", at positions 360 to 773 of the family's 1533-position model. The record is from RNAcentral.